CACUUGAAGAAAAUGUAUCAGGAAAAUACAUGAUGCAAAUUCAUGAAUUAUUAGGUGUCCAUUUAUAUUCCCAUGUCUCUAGAGUUAUCCAUGUGGUCCUAUAAAUAGAGGUCAUUCUUGUAGUCUCAUUGUAAGAAAAAAAAGAAGAAAACAUUAUUGAGUGUGCUGUAGCAACUCAAAAACUAUCAAUAAAAAUUCAAGUUUUUCUUCAACACUUCGUUUCCGCACUAACAAAUUCAAC
Molecule: long non-coding RNA, 241 nt
Filed under: Olea europaea (common olive)
Lineage: Eukaryota; Viridiplantae; Streptophyta; Magnoliopsida; Lamiales; Oleaceae
Description: long non-coding RNA (OEUR_LNC001409)
Source: RNAcentral